AUUGAACGCUGGCGGCAUGCCUAACACAUGCAAGUCGAACGGUAACAGGCCCUUCGGGGUGCUGACGAGUGGCGGAUGGGUGAGUAAUACUUAGGAAUCUACCCUGUAGUGGGGGACAACCCGGGGAAACUCGGGCUAAUACCGCAUACGCUCUACGGAGGAAAGCGGGGGACCGCAAGGCCUCGCGCUAUUGGAUGAGCCUAAGCCCGAUUAGCUAGUUGGUGGGGUAAUAGCCUACCAAGGCAAUGAUCGGUAGCUGGUCUGAGAGGACGACCAGCCACACUGGGACUGAGACACGGCCCAGACUCCUACGGGAGGCAGCAGUGGGGAAUAUUGGACAAUGGGCGAAAGCCUGAUCCAGCGAUGCCGCGUGUGUGAAGAAGGCCUGCGGGUUGUAAAGCACUUUC
This 407-nucleotide ribosomal RNA is filed under the name uncultured bacterium. Its description in RNAcentral is "bacterial SSU rRNA". It matches the Rfam family "Bacterial small subunit ribosomal RNA", at positions 30 to 437 of the family's 1533-position model. The record is from RNAcentral.